Long non-coding RNA from Cydia splendana, 823 nucleotides. RefSeq lists it as uncharacterized. NCBI's taxonomy places the organism in Eukaryota, Metazoa, Arthropoda, Insecta, Lepidoptera, Tortricidae. The transcript is spliced from 4 exons. The record is from RefSeq and is a predicted model, not a curated record.
CGAGUUGCAAACUUGAAACGCGUAAAAAUGAAAAAGUCGACUUUUUAUUAAAUCAAAGAUUUGUAUUAUAAAUAGCAUUCAACUAUAUACCGUGCUCUAACUAUUGACUAUGACUACCUAAAUUAAUGUUUUAAUUCGUUACGGCGCUGGCUGGCCUCAUAAAAUUACGUACGCUUACCGUUCCUUCAGUCUGAAAUGUAAGUUUUUAUCGGAACCAUGGCUGUCUCUCGCUGCUUUUGCAGCAUGGUUGCUCUCAUGAUUAUUACCGGUUCGAACGCAGAUCAUGACGAUCAUGAUAGGACCAUUUUCGACGAGGACAUUAACAAUUACGAUGACAUCCUUGACGCCGUUCAUAAAGGCAAAUAUUACAGAAACAAUGAUGAUAUUUACAAUGACGACUAUGGCAUUUUCAGAGCCAGAGAUGACAGUAACGAUGGUGAUGGCAUGAUCAAAAUAUACGUAGGCCAAGAUGUGUAUUAUAUGCCUGAAAGCGGCCUUUUUAUCGACAAUUAUAUUAACGAUGAUGAUUUAGAUGACAAAAAUGGCAUUAGCAAUAGCAAUGUUGGCGUUUACAAUAUGUAUCGUAGUCGAGGUCGUGGUCGCAAAACUGGCAAACCAAGAAAAAUUGAUAAAGAAAAAUUACGUGCCAUCAUUACUCUGCUGCACCACUACAACCCCUUAAUGAAGUUGUUCUCAAUGAAGAAUAACGGGAAGAAACGGGUUGCCUGGAGAAAAUGGCUUAACUGGUAUGACUCGUCGAAUAGUGGUAUUAAUGGUAUUGGAUAAUAAAUGGGAAGUCGGAAUUUUGACGUGUUGUAUUCAA